CUUGUCCUCAAGAAUGAAUAAGGGAGGGCACAACAUUGAAAUUAUUGAUUGUGCGCAAUAAACCAGCACCAAAAUGUCAAUUUGUUACCUUCGUCAUAGUAAUCUUUUUCUUUGUCUUCUCCAUCUUUCAAAUACAUCUUGUUUAAGAAUUACAGAUGCAAUGUUCUUCAAAAUUAAUUUCUUCUUCUUCAGCCUUCUUGAUAUUUCCCAUUUAUCCUCUAUGGACAUUAAGAACUCACAAUAGUAAAACUCACAAUCAUGGUUCUCUUGAAUUAGUAAACUCCAUCCAUUCCCAGUGCUCCCAGAAAUUUCAGGUUUUUGGACUCUAGAUUGUGCAGCUUCCAACACUUCUUCCAUUCUGAACUGAGGCAAAAUCAUCCUUUGUUUUAUUGAGCAAAGGAAUUCCACUUCAUAUUCAGCUCCUAUUCUUCCCAUUGAAUAGUCUAGUUGCCUCAUAUGCACUUUACUAGAGGCUUCAGUAAUGUUACCAUUCUCGAAACCCUGAGUAUUCUCAUCAUUU
Molecule: unclassified non-coding RNA, 520 nt
Filed under: Hevea brasiliensis (rubber tree)
Lineage: Eukaryota; Viridiplantae; Streptophyta; Magnoliopsida; Malpighiales; Euphorbiaceae
Source: RNAcentral